Molecule: long non-coding RNA, 422 nt
Organism: Carassius carassius (crucian carp)
Lineage: Eukaryota; Metazoa; Chordata; Actinopteri; Cypriniformes; Cyprinidae
Exons: 2
Source: RefSeq, a predicted model, not a curated record
AAGCAGAAACAUGAGGAAAACUGCACUGAGGAGAAUGCAGAGAGUGCACACGGUGGGCACGACAAUCUCUGUGACCAUCUCCAUGUGGCUGAUCAGUGGAUCUGGAGAAAAACAUGUCACUAGAUCAUUGCCGGCUGUGCUGCCCAGUGGGGAGAGAAGUCAGCAACAGUUACACUAACCUGCCGCAAGGAGCUGGUUACUUGAGGUGCAUGUUUCCAGUGCCUUUCUUUUCCAGCUUUCAAUCUGUGAUAAACAUUAUACAAUUUAAAUUCAUAAGAAGUAAACUGAGACAUAAUAUAAAGACAUAGUAUAUAUUUAUCACACAGAUUGCACAAAAAAUGCUAAGACUCUUGUACAAUUUGACUCAAAAGAUUAAAUAAAAAAUUAAUUUAGCAUCAUAUUUUAAUUCUAAACUCAAUGAA